CCUAACUGAUGCAAUAUUCUUACGCAUAUCUAUCCCAUGAAACCCUCUGAUCUGAACCCCCCAUAUAGCAACUGACAAAGAUUGCACGGAUGGAAGCUGAAAGGGACUACCAAAUUUGAAAUGGUUAAGAGAAAGAACAAGAUAGAGAAGGUUGAAGAAAGCGACUAUUCAAAAGAGGGUAGCUCAAAGAAAGGGUCAAUGGAGGAAGGAGAGGAGAGGAGAAGAGAGGAGGCAGCUUCUAUCACUAGCUGUAGACAACUCAUC
RNAcentral lists this unclassified non-coding RNA (264 nucleotides) under Hevea brasiliensis (rubber tree). Lineage: Eukaryota; Viridiplantae; Streptophyta; Magnoliopsida; Malpighiales; Euphorbiaceae. The record is from RNAcentral.